RNAcentral lists this long non-coding RNA (1849 nucleotides) under Selaginella moellendorffii. RNAcentral's name for it is "long non-coding RNA (SMOE_LNC000123)". The record is from RNAcentral. Lineage: Eukaryota; Viridiplantae; Streptophyta; Lycopodiopsida; Selaginellales; Selaginellaceae.
CUCCCCUUCGCGUUUGCGUUGCUUUCCUCUUCACCCACAUUGCGUGUGUGUGUUUCUCCUCGGGCAGUCUCUUUGUCUCUUGGAAAUUCUUGUUUUUCUUAUUUUUUCUUUUCUACAGUCCCAAAAGGUUGAUUGGGAACAGAAAAUUCAACCGUUUUCUUGCCAAGAGAAAUAAAUUCAGCCUGACCAGUAAACCAGGAAGAAAGCUGAGAUGCGAGGAAGAAAAAGGAGGUGGAAACUUCAACUUUGGGUGCAUGGAAUGCGUUGAAACAGUCGUAACUUUCUCCUCUUAUCCUCGAUACGUAGGCAGAGUGAGAUUGACGGGCAGGAGAAAAAACCAGCAGGAAAAAAAAAAGAAAAUAAAGAGAGAGAAGAACCUCGCGUUCCGGUCAAGAGCCAGUUGAAAAGCUCGUCGUUAAUGGCAUCUUCCGGCUACUUCUUCGGAAAAAUCCCGACACACACACACAUGCAUUCAUGGAACAAAUGCUGCUGCAAUAGAAAAAGAAGAGAUCAUUUUUUGAGGGAAAAAAGCAAGGAAAUUCUUAAAGCAAAGCGAGAAAGGGACCUGGAAGCAUAUAUGGUGCUGCGAUAUACGAAAUUGACACACGAUUAAAUCAACGAUGACUGCCUCGCGCCAACUUGUAAGUUCUUCUCCCCUCCUUCCUCCUUUCUCUGAAACGACAACAGUCAGGCAGCGAAAGGUGAGUGGCGAGAAAAAGAGAGCUCCGAUCGAUCGAUCCAGUCGAGUCGAGUCGGAAGAGAGCGAGGAUUACAGCUAGCGACCGAGCGAACGAGCGAGCGAGCAUGGCAGAGACUGAGCUUACUCUGGAGUCCAAGGAAUGGAACACAAGUAGUCAGAGCUCCUGGAGUCACUGACGGACGGGGUGGAAACGCUCGUGUGACUGAGUUACUUCUUUAAGCUGGAAAACAAAAUGUGAGCGAGCGAGAGAGGAAGAAAAACUUUAGAACUAACCGCAUGCUCCAUAAUAGCCGGAACUGGAAACGCACGGACGGUGUCAAGAUGCACGGAUAGUCCUUCACAAAGAAAAAAAGAAAAGAAAAAAAUGCUUUUCAAGUCAUGCUUACAGUAAUCGUGCCCAUCCAUGAAAGUCAGAGCCUGGAAAACGAGUGUCCCGUUUAAAACCUAAGCUGAGAUUAACUCACUUCUUGGUGACUUAACAUGCCUUUGAAGUUGAUCUGGCAUAAAACCGCGACCACCAUGCAACGGAAAGCACGGACGAGUUUAGCAUCUGACUGCAAUCAAUGAAUCGAGCUCGCAUAUAAAUACACUUACGCACGGCGAGGGGUGAGGUUUUAAGCCCGGAGAGGAGACCUGGAACAAAGAACGUCGAGCGAAAAAGAGGGAUUUUUACGAGCUUGGACCAAGACCAGCUUAGCGGAAAGAAAAGCUGUGCUUGUGCUCGCUAUACGUGUGCGUGGUGUGAGUGUCAAUCAAUCAAUCAUCUGCAGAAUAAGUUGCUUCGUGUGUCAAACUUCUGCCUGACACAAGAGCGGAAAAAAAAAAAGCGAGAAAAAAGGAGAACACCACCUCCAAAACGUAGCAGUAGCAGCCCCGGAGGAGUCAUAGCCUGGACAGCGAGAGGCCUCUACACACACAGAUCAGAUAAAGUGCUCCCGUUAAGAGAAAAAGAGAGAGUUUGUAACGAAAGGACUUGCCUGGAGCUUGUAGAGUCGUCUUCUUCUUCCUCCUCCUCUCGCCAAUAGCUCUCUCAACUUUUUUUUUGAGGUCCUUCUUAGAAGUGUCAGGCGGACCAAAGAAGAUCUCUAGCGGGAUCCGUGCUUGGCUACUUAAGAUCCUUUCUCCUUGCUCACUUUCCUCUUUUCUCUC